Molecule: RNA transcript, 1995 nt
Organism: Gossypium raimondii (Peruvian cotton)
Lineage: Eukaryota; Viridiplantae; Streptophyta; Magnoliopsida; Malvales; Malvaceae
Exons: 5
Source: RefSeq, a predicted model, not a curated record
UCUUUUAUUUGAAAAUUACAAGGUUAAUAUAUGAACUAAUUUAGCUUUGAAUCUUUAGUCUUUGGGUUAAAACGAAAAUUUGUUGGAGAGAUGUGAGAAUAAGAAAUGAAAAAAAAGCAGUCUUAUAUUUAAUUUCUGAGGGAUGUAGUAUUUAAUCAAAGGUGUAAUCUGGAUUGUUGAUAUCUGCUUGUUUGUAUUUGUUUUGUUAAUAGCAGUUUGUAAUUUGGUUAUCCCUAGACCCGAGCUUCAAUUUUACAAUAGACUAGGAAACUAAAUAAUGUCAUGGUAAUACUCUCUUCACAAUCGUUUUUUGUUUUUAUUUUUUUUCUUCUAAUUAACACCACAGUUUAGCUUCACAUUUUGCAUUCUAGAUCUCAUUGUAUAUGUUACUUAUCUCCAGUUUAUAGUUUGGUUGUGGUGGCUUUUCUUUUCCAUACUUUUCUCACUUUUCCUUACAGAUUCCUGGAAAACAAAGAAGAAUAGUUAAACAGUAAAGCAAAAUACACCCCCCCGAUUUUUUUUUUCAUUUUGGGGUCAUCGUCAUGGAUGUUUCUAUGAAGAGAAGAACUCUACUUAAGGUCAUUGUUCUAGGUGACAGUGGGUAUGUUUUAUUUUAUUUUAUUUUUGCAGUCUUGAUUUGUUUGUAAUUGUCGUAUCCUUAAUUCCUUUUGAUAUUUUGCUUGUAUUUUAGAGUGGGAAAGACAUCAUUGAUGAAUCAGUAUCCUUUAUUUUGAGAUACAUGCUUUGUUUAAGCACAUUAUAUUUGAUUGUUAGUUGCAUUGAAAGACACACAAUGAAAAUUACAUAGGCUGUUGUAGUUUCUUAACUUGUCAUCCAAAUAUGUUUAUAACAAAUUCAACCAACAGUACAAAGCUACAAUUGGAGCUGACUUUGUCACCAAAGAAUUACAGAUUGAUGACAAAUUGGUAACUUUGCAAGUAAGUGAUGAAAAAUCAAGGAAAAUUCUUACACAUUUUUUUUAAAACUAAAAUCCUCACAUUUUACCAAGUGUCUUCUUGUCUGAUAGAUAUGGGAUACACUGGGGCAAGAAAGGUUCCAGAGUCUUGGUUCUGCAUUUUAUCGAGGGGCAGAUUGCUGUGUUAUUAUGUUUGAUGUGAACAUACUCAGAUUGUUGUGUUCUUGUCUGAUAGAUUGCUGUGUUAUUGUGUUUGAUGUGAACAUACUCAAAUCAUUUAAAACAGAUCAUAACAUGUUUGCUGUAAUGUCCCAGCUGCAGUUAUAGCUCCGCAGCGUCGUCAUCUUCGAAACCAGGUUCAUGCCUUGGUUUUGACCAAUCCUGCAACUUUAGUUGAGAUGCAUGCUUAACCAAGUCUUGCUCAUAUUAUGGCUGCUAAGAUUAUCAAACAAGUUUUUUCUAUCCUUCCAGUCUAUGAUAAAAUAGUCCCAGCACUCUUGACUGGUGGUAUUGGGAUCUGCCUCAGAGUUGUGGCUUUACGCCGGGUGUUCCUGCUAAAAUUCCAGGACAUUGACUUCAUAUGUGAAUAUAAAUAUGAUGGAGAGCGUGCGCAGAUUUAAGAAGUCCUCUGUAAAAUCAUUUGUUGUGGAUUGUGAGCUUGUUGCUUAUGAUCGUGUAAACAUGUCCCAAAAGUGUAGCAUAUAUCUAACCCCCAUUAUGUGAUUAUUUGGGAUGUUACCUAGCUUGGUUAUCCAAUACGAAUACUGUAGGUAAGGUUGGCAGUUGAUGCUAUAUUAAUGGCUGAGGGUGCUGAACGGAAGGAGCAUAUGGGUAUUAAGGGUUUAACGAAGCUUCUAGCAGACAAUGUGCCAAAAGCCAUGAAGGAACAAAAAUUAGAGAGCUAUUUCGGCUGCAAGAUUGCCAUCAACGCUAGCAUGAGCAUUUACCACUUUAUUUAUUUUUUGUUAGGAAAUUUAAUUGUUUAUGUUAAUAUUAUAUGCUAUAUACAUUAUUUUAUAUACUUAUGAUAUACUUAUGAUCUUAAAAUAAGGUUAAAGUGUAAAUUUGUUGCCAUGUUA